UAGUAAGCCAAGGGGUGCCGCAAGGCUGAGAUUUGUUAGUUACUUCUGUAUCGAUGGAGUAGACAACAAGAACCCUUACACCUGAUCCGGAUAAUACCGGCGUAGGAAUGGUAAGAGAGUCAUCC
RNAcentral lists this non-coding RNA (125 nucleotides) under Paraglaciecola hydrolytica. RNAcentral describes it as "Paraglaciecola sp. S66 TPP riboswitch aptamer (THI element)". It matches the Rfam family "TPP riboswitch aptamer (THI element)". Rfam says of the family: Vitamin B(1) in its active form thiamin pyrophosphate (TPP) is an essential coenzyme that is synthesised by coupling of pyrimidine and thiazole moieties in bacteria. The previously detected thiamin-regulatory element, thi box was extended, resulting in a new, highly conserved RNA secondary structure, the THI element, which is widely distributed in eubacteria and also occurs in some archaea. The record is from Rfam by way of RNAcentral. Lineage: Bacteria; Pseudomonadati; Pseudomonadota; Gammaproteobacteria; Alteromonadales; Alteromonadaceae. RNAcentral also lists the same sequence under 1 other name.